CCUACGGGUGGCAGCAGUGAGGAAUAUUGGUCAAUGGACGAGAGUCUGAACCAGCCAAGUAGCGUGAAGGAUGACUGCCCUAUGGGUUGUAAACUUCUUUUAUAUGGGAAUAAAAUGUUCCACGUGUGGGAUUUUGUAUGUACCAUAUGAAUAAGGAUCGGCUAACUCCGUGCCAGCAGCCGCGGUAAUACGGAGGAUCCGAGCGUUAUCCGGAUUUAUUGGGUUUAAAGGGAGCGUAGGUGGAUUGUUAAGUCAGUUGUGAAAGUUUGCGGCUCAACCGUAAAAUUGCAGUUGAAACUGGCAGUCUUGAGUACGGUAGAGGUGGGCGGAAUGCGUGGUGUAGCGGUGAAAUGCUUAGAUAUCACGAAGAACUCCGAUUGCGAAGGCAGUUCACUGGACUGCAACUGACACUGAGGCUCGAAAGUGUGGGUAUCAAACAGGAUUAGAGACCCUAGUAGUC
RNAcentral lists this ribosomal RNA (460 nucleotides) under uncultured bacterium. RNAcentral's name for it is "partial 16S ribosomal RNA". It matches the Rfam family "Bacterial small subunit ribosomal RNA", at positions 338 to 795 of the family's 1533-position model. The record is from RNAcentral.